GUCCAACAACGAAUACCAGUUUGACCUCCCCACCGGAGAAGAGCUCUUCCGGCCUCCCGCUCCCGUCCGCCCACCCUCUUCCUCCCCCCCCCCCCCAACCCCCUCCCCAAAACCCCACCGGAUUCAGAACCCUCUCUUCGAUAGUCCUCGCUGGAGAUCGAAGACCUCGAGCUUGUUUCUCGUCCUCCGCGCUUCUCCGGCCGGCAAGAAGGCGAUGUUCUGAUCCCCCUUUCCUUCUCGAUCCGGAGGAAAGAGCACAUAGGGAAGCGAUUACCAUGGGCUGCGUUGGAUCCACUCAGAGCAAAGGCGAAGAGAAUACUACCAAAAAACUCCGUAAGCCAAAACCAUGGAAGCAUACUCAGCCAAUAACCAGGACACAACUUAGACAGAUGCGUGAUGAAUUUUGGGAUACAGCACCUCACUACGGUGGCCAGAAAGAGAUUUGGGAUGCACUUCGAGCAGCAGCAGAAGCUGAUUUAACCCUUGCACAAGCAAUAGUGGACAGUGCUGGUAUCAUUGUUUCAAAUGCUGACAUGACUCUUUGUUAUGAUGAAAGGGGUGCUAAAUAUGAAUUGCCCAAAUAUGUUUUGAGUGAGCCUACAAAUUUGACUCGGGAUAGUUGACCAAAGGCAGGAGCUCAAGCAUGAAUAUGUCAGAACUCGCGCAUGAAUAAGUUAUUGUACAUCAUGCAAAAGAGGGUAUAGUCUGCGGUUGUCUUCAUGUUGCAUCAAACGAAGUUGGUGUGUAUACGGUGAUUGAGAGGAACUUAAUAGUUCUAAUGUCUUGUCAAUCUGGCUUAUGUGUUCAUGCUAGAAAAUGAAAUUGUUGGGAUUUUUAUUUUUAUUUUUAUUUUUUUCCUGUCCGCAGAACUCUGAAUGGCUGGAGCAAUCCGACAGGCGGAAGUCAAUGGCAAUGUAUUCUUUUAUUUUGAAUUGAGAUCUUUGCAAGUAUAACCUUAAAAUAUUUUAAGUGCUCUUGGUAUUUGCCAUCUCUAAUAAUUUAUCUUAUGAAUGCACAAUAUUCUUUAAGGUUUUCCCGCAAUAUGAUCAGGGCAAGCAUUUACAAUUACCAAAGUAACUGACAACAAUAGUUCUCCAACUUAAACCUUUGCAUGACCUUUGGACUUGUGGAAGAAGCACCAUGGUAGCAAUGUCUUUAGACUGUGUUUGGUUUGGAUAUAAAGUAGGAUUAAGGGUUAGAUUAAGUACCUGUGAAACGACAUUUAAGGAUGAGGCAUAAUCAAGGAAUAUCUGGUCAAGCAUGAUUAGGAUUUGCAUAGUUAUUCGAAGAAAAACCUGUCGUAAGCUAUUCAAAAAUUAUUUCAGAAGGGUGCGUUUUGCCAUUCAAAAGCAGAGGCAAACAAAAUUUGUCAUGAUUGAUGGCAUAACUACUCCCAGCGUUCUUUUUAUGCAGCAACUACUGUUUUCCCAUUUUCCAGAUUGUUGAUUUUUAUUGCUCUGUCAAGGAAAAAGGUUCUCACCUA
Molecule: non-coding RNA, 1483 nt
Organism: Elaeis guineensis (African oil palm)
Lineage: Eukaryota; Viridiplantae; Streptophyta; Magnoliopsida; Arecales; Arecaceae
Source: RefSeq, a predicted model, not a curated record